CCUACGGGGGGCAGCAGUAAGGAAUAUUGCGCAAUGGGCGAAAGCCUGACGCAGCGACGCCGCGUGGGGGAUGAAGGUCUUCGGAUUGUAAACCCCUUUCGGGAGGGAAGAUGGAGCGAGCAAUCGUUCGGACGGUACCUCCAGAAGCAGCCACGGCCAACUUCGUGCCAGCAGCCGCGGUAAUACGAAGGUGGCAAGCGCUGUUCGGAUUCGCUGGGCGUGCAGGUUGUGUAUUUGGUUAGGUAACUGUUAAAGCUUCGGGCCCAACCCGGAAAGCGCAGAGGGUACUGCCAGGCUAGAGGGUGGGAGAGGAGCGCGGAAUGCCCGGUGUAGCGGUGAAAUGCGUAGAGAUCGGGAGGAAGGCCGGUGGCGAAGGCGGCGCUCUGGAACAUACCUGACGCUGAGACACGAAAGCGUGGGGAGCAAACAGGAUUAGAUACCCCUGUAGUC
This 450-nucleotide ribosomal RNA is filed under the name uncultured bacterium. RNAcentral's name for it is "partial 16S ribosomal RNA". It matches the Rfam family "Bacterial small subunit ribosomal RNA", at positions 338 to 795 of the family's 1533-position model. The record is from RNAcentral.